Molecule: ribosomal RNA, 467 nt
Filed under: uncultured bacterium
Lineage: Bacteria
Description: partial 16S ribosomal RNA
Rfam family: Bacterial small subunit ribosomal RNA
Source: RNAcentral
GACGAACGCUGGCGGCGUGCUUAACACAUGCAAGUCGAACGGAAAGGCCCUGCUUUUGUGGGGUGCUCGAGUGGCGAACGGGUGAGUAACACGUGAGUAACCUGCCCUUGACUUUGGGAUAACUUCAGGAAACUGGGGCUAAUACCGGAUAGGAGCUCCUGCUGCAUGGUGGGGGUUGGAAAGUUUCGGCGGUUGGGGAUGGACUCGCGGCUUAUCAGCUUGUUGGUGGGGUAGUGGCUUACCAAGGCUUUGACGGGUAGCCGGCCUGAGAGGGUGACCGGCCAAAUUGGGACUGAGAUACGGCCCAGAUUCCUACGGGAGGCAGCAGUGGGGAAUAUUGCACAAGGGGCGGAAGCCUGAGGCAGCAACGCCGCGUGCGGGAUGACGGCCUUCGGGUGGUAAACCGCUUUCGCCUGGGACGAAGCGGGAGUGACGGUAAUGGGUAAAGAAGCACCGCUAACUACGUG